GAGAGUCUUGCCGGAGCAACUCCAACUCCGAUUUAGACUUCUUUUGCAGGUCCCGACGGCGACCGCGACUCCCUCGACUCCAGCUUCUCCGACGCAGGUGGAUUUUUACACCAACAUGAUUGGUGCUAGAGGAAGGACCGUGUCUUCACAGUACCCUUAUUCUUAAAGGAGCGCCCAAUAGGACCACCUCCGGUCAUCUUCUCCGACAUCCACUCCUCCUUCCCCCACUAGGUCUUCGCCCG
This 242-nucleotide long non-coding RNA is filed under the name Elaeis guineensis (African oil palm). RNAcentral's name for it is "long non-coding RNA (EGUI_LNC026794)". The record is from RNAcentral. Lineage: Eukaryota; Viridiplantae; Streptophyta; Magnoliopsida; Arecales; Arecaceae.